CCCUGAGGUUUUCGUUAAGUCCGUUAACGAGCGCAACCCAUGUCAUUAGUUGUUUUUCUAAUGAGACUGCCUAGGUUAACUAGGAGGAAGGUGGGAUGACGUCAAAUCAGCAUGGCUUUUACGUCUGGGGCUACACACAUGAUACAAUGGUAUGUACAAAGAGUCGCAAUAUCGCAAGAUGGAGCUAAUCUUCAAAGCAUAUCUCAGUCCGGAUUGAGGGCUGCAACUCGCCCUCAUGAAGUUGGAAUUGCUAGUAAUCGUGAAUCAGAUAUGUCACGGUGAAUGUGUUCCUGGGUCUUGUACUCACCGCCCGUCACGGCAUGGGAGGUAGUAAUAUCGGAAGUCCC
Molecule: ribosomal RNA, 347 nt
Filed under: uncultured bacterium
Lineage: Bacteria
Description: bacterial SSU rRNA
Rfam family: Bacterial small subunit ribosomal RNA
Source: RNAcentral